AACGCACGAGACCUGCGGACCUGCGGAGGGAUCAUUACCGAGUUAUCCAACUCCCAACCCCUGUGAAUCAUACCUUUAAUUGUUGCUUCGGCGGGACUUCGCGCCCGCCGGGGACCCAAACCUUCUGAAUUUUUUAAUAAGUAUCUUCUGAGUGGUUAAAAAAAUGAAUCAAAACUUUCAACAACGGAUCUCU
This 193-nucleotide unclassified non-coding RNA is filed under the name soil metagenome. Its description in RNAcentral is "partial contains 5.8S ribosomal RNA, internal transcribed spacer 2, and large subunit ribosomal RNA". The record is from RNAcentral.